UGCUUCCCUGUCAGUGCCAAAUCAGCAG
This 28-nucleotide non-coding RNA is filed under the name Mus musculus (house mouse). The record is from RNAcentral. Lineage: Eukaryota; Metazoa; Chordata; Mammalia; Rodentia; Muridae.